Molecule: ribosomal RNA, 490 nt
Filed under: uncultured bacterium
Lineage: Bacteria
Description: partial 16S ribosomal RNA
Rfam family: Bacterial small subunit ribosomal RNA
Source: RNAcentral
AUUGAACGCUGGCGGCAGGCCUAACACAUGCAAGUCGAACGGUAACAGGAAGAAGCUUGCUUCUUUGCUGACGAGUGGCGGACGGGUGAGUAAUGUCUGGGAAACUGCCUGAUGGAGGGGGAUAACUACUGGAAACGGUAGCUAAUACCGCAUAACGUCGCAAGCCCAAAGGGGGGGACCUUCGGGCCUCUUGCCAUCGGGUGUGCCCAGCUGGGAUUAGCUAGUAGGUGGGGUUACGGCUCACCUAGGCGACGAUCCCUAGCUGGUCUGAGAGGAUGACCAGCCACACUGGAACUGAGACACGGUCCAGACUCCUACGGGAGGCAGCAGUGGGGAAUAUUGCACAAUGGGCGCAAGCCUGAUGCAGCCAUGCCGCGUGUAUGAAGAAGGCCUUCGGGUUGUAAAGUACUUUCAGCGGGGAGGAAGGGAGUAAAGUUAAUACCUUUGCUCAUUGACGUUACCCGCAGAAGAAGCACCGGCUAACUCCGUG